Molecule: ribosomal RNA, 594 nt
Filed under: Gymnothorax flavimarginatus (yellow-edged moray)
Lineage: Eukaryota; Metazoa; Chordata; Actinopteri; Anguilliformes; Muraenidae
Description: partial large subunit ribosomal RNA
Rfam family: Bacterial large subunit ribosomal RNA
Source: RNAcentral
AUAGGUCCCGGCCUGCCCUGCUGACGGCAGUGUUUAACGGCCGCGGUAUUUUAACCGCGCGAAGGUAGCGUAAUCACUUGUCUUUUAAAUGGAGACCUGUAUGAAUGGCAUAACGAGGGUUUAACUGUCUCCUUUCCCCAGUCAAUGAAAUUGAUCUGCCCGUGAAGAAGCGGGCAUAGUAACAUAAGACGAGAAGACCCUAUGGAGCUUUAGGCAAAUGAUCAAGCAUACCAAACCCUACUUUCUAAUAAAUAUUCGGUUAAAAUAAAAACAAAUGAUCAAGACGCCUUCGGUUGGGGCGACCGCGGAGGAAAGAAAAGCCUCCAAGUGGAACGGGAAAACCCUUAAACUAAGAGAAACAACUCUAAGUACCAGAAAAUCUGACCAAAUAUGACCCAGGCUUAAGCCUGAUCAACGAACCCAGUUACCCUAGGGAUAACAGCGCAAUCCUCUCCCAGAGUCCAUAUCGACGAGAGGGUUUACGACCUCGAUGUUGGAUCAGGACAUCCUACUGGUGCAGCCGCUAUUACGGGUUCGUUUGUUCAACGAUUAGUACUCCUACGUGAUCUGAUUUCAAACCGGAUUCAGACCGGA